GAAAGCAGAGAGUUAAUUUACAAAUGCCUC
This 30-nucleotide non-coding RNA is filed under the name Mus musculus (house mouse). The record is from RNAcentral. Lineage: Eukaryota; Metazoa; Chordata; Mammalia; Rodentia; Muridae.